RNAcentral lists this ribosomal RNA (253 nucleotides) under uncultured bacterium. RNAcentral's name for it is "partial 16S ribosomal RNA". It matches the Rfam family "Bacterial small subunit ribosomal RNA", at positions 524 to 776 of the family's 1533-position model. The record is from RNAcentral.
UACGGGGGGGGCAAGCGUUGUUCGGAAUUACUGGGCGUAAAGGGCGCGUAGGCGGUUCGCUAAGUCGGAUGUGAAAACUCUGGGCUCAACUCAGAGCCUGCAUCCGAAACUGGCGGGCUAGAGUUCUGGAGGGGGUAGCGGAAUUCCUGGUGUAGCGGUGAAAUGCGUAGAUAUCAGGAGGAACACCGGUGGCGAAGGCGGCUACCUGGACAGAAACUGACGCUGAGGCGCGAAAGCUAGGGGAGCGAACGGG